GCAGUUAAAAAGCUCGUAGUUGGAUCUCGGUGAUACUGAAGCCAACCGCUGCUUAGUUGGUUGAGUCUGGCUGCACCUAGCGUGUACGUCGGAUUUGCCGGCUGUGUUAGUGGUGUGGAAGCGGUGUUACCUUUCAGCCAUGUCUGUGGUGCAAUACCCACAGGUGUAAGCAAGUGUCAGGCGGUGCUGUGCUUUCGGUAUGGUCCGUCGGCUCGUUUGCAUGCCUGCGGAUGCCCUUCAAAAGGUGUCUGUUGGCGGAUGGCACGUUUACUUUGAACAAAUUUGAGUGCUCAAACCAGGCCAAUGUUGCCUGAAAAGUUUUGCAUGGAAUAAUGGAAUAGGACUUCGGUUCUAUUUUGUUGGUUUUCGGAUCCGAAGUAAUGAUCAAAAGAGACAGGCGGGGACGUUUGUAUGGUUGCGCUAGAGGUGAAAUUCAUGGACCGUAGCCAGACAAACUAAAGCGAAAGCAUUCGUCAAGCAUGUUUUCAUUGACCAUGAGCGAAAGUCAGAGGCUCGAAGACGAUCAGAUACCGUCCUAGUUCUGACCAUAAACGAUGCCAACUGACGAUCCGUGGUGGUAGUAAAUUAACCUUCCCCACGGGCAGUCACCGGGAAACCUUUAAGUCUUUGGGUUCCGGGGGAAGUAUGGUUGCAAAGCUGAAACUUAAAGGAAUUGACGGAAGGGCACCACCAGGAGUGGAGCCUGCGGCUUAAUUUGACUCAACACGGGAAAACUCACCCGGGCCGGACACUGUAAGGAUUGACAGAUUGAUAGCUCUUUCUUGAUUCGGUGGUUGGUGGUGCAUGGCCGUUCUUAGUUGGUGGAGCGAUUUGUCUGGUUAAUUCCGAUAACGAACGAGACUCUAGCCUGCUAAUUAGUGCACUUGUCCACUGUUCCUGUGUAAGUGGCGUUUCGGCGAUGUUGCCCAUGUUAUCUGCUGCAGUUGUUCACCUGUGUCCUCGGAUGCGGGUGGCGGCUGUAGUGGUUUGGGCGGCGGGUUCGGCGUUUGCUUCCGGGUACGG
This 1023-nucleotide ribosomal RNA is filed under the name Tentacularia coryphaenae. RNAcentral's name for it is "bacterial SSU rRNA". It matches the Rfam family "Eukaryotic small subunit ribosomal RNA", at positions 615 to 1399 of the family's 1831-position model. Lineage: Eukaryota; Metazoa; Platyhelminthes; Cestoda; Trypanorhyncha; Tentaculariidae. The record is from RNAcentral.